CUUUGGGUGUGUUUUUGAGAUUGGCCCUGUUUUUAGGGCAGAAAACUCCUUCACACAUAGGCAUUUGUGUGAAUUUACUGGCCUUGAUGUUGAAAUGGAGAUUAAGAAGCACUAUUGUGAGGUUGGAUUGGAUACUUUUUCAUUUAACUGAAUUUUCAGUUUAGCUUAACGAACUAAACGUUUAUGUGCAGGUAAUGGACAUUGUGGACAAGUUGUUCGUUACAAUGUUCGACUCAUUGAAUGCGAGUUGCAAGAAAGAACUUGAAGCUAUUGGAAGACAAUACCCCUUUGAACCUUUAAAGUACUUGAGAAAGACCUUGUGGCUUACUUUUCAAGAAGAUGUUCAAAUGCUCAAGGGCUGAUUUUGUUGGUUGUUUUGAUAUUCGCGAAAAUGGAGGAUCUCGUGGCUUUGUUUGAGCCCAUUGCAUUGUCUCCGUCGGAGUCUUCGAUAAUAUUGCUACUCCUGGUUUUCUCAUGUUUGCUUUAAGCUGGUUUGGUUUUGUUGUCUCUGUUUUUUCUCUCUUUUGACUGUUCUCCUUUCGGCUCUA
Molecule: RNA transcript, 548 nt
Organism: Syzygium oleosum
Lineage: Eukaryota; Viridiplantae; Streptophyta; Magnoliopsida; Myrtales; Myrtaceae
Gene name: aspartate--tRNA ligase 2, cytoplasmic-like
Exons: 3
Source: RefSeq, a predicted model, not a curated record